AUCAAAUCUUCACAGGAAUCAGAGACUAGAAAUUGUCUGAACACAUGCAGUUCCAGAGCAUUUAAUUAGAAAAGAUAAUAGUAAUGACCAAACAGACAGAACAGAUAAAAAAAACAAUUAUAACAGAUCCAGAUAGAAGGAAGCCCAUCUAUAAAAAUCAAUAGAAUUCAAACAGUAUUGAAAAAUGGACACCAGUCAAAAUCCAACUAUACUUCAAACCACUUAGAAAGCAAUAUAACCCAUUCCAACAACAUCAUAUGGAUCAGAAUUGCAAUAACUAUAGAUAUGAUUUUCACUUAACAAAUGAUUGCCCAGCUAAAAAUGCAGUAUAUAAUAAAUGCGAGGGAAAGAGCUACUACGCCAGAUUUUGCAGAAACAGUACAUCAAACAUCAGAGAAAUCACUAAUCAUCCAAGAUCUGUUUUUUAAAUUCCAAUUCUUUCUACUAAUAUACAUAUGUAAAAAUUCAAAUAAUCAGCUUAUUAGAUCAAGAAAAAAUAUUUAUUUUUAGAAAAAAUAGUUUUGAAUAAGCCUUUUUCAUUUAUAUUCUAAAAAUAAUCAAAAUCUUUGUUUUUUUUAAAUAAUUGAUUGAGUUUUUUUAUGACCCACUUUUUAUUGAAAAUUAUUUAUAAUU
RNAcentral lists this long non-coding RNA (633 nucleotides) under Androctonus crassicauda. Lineage: Eukaryota; Metazoa; Arthropoda; Arachnida; Scorpiones; Buthidae. The record is from RNAcentral.